AAGGAUUUAAGUUAAAUUAAACUAAGAACCUUCAAAGUUCUAAAUAAAGUAAAUUCUUUAAGCCUUA
This 67-nucleotide transfer RNA is filed under the name Popillia japonica (Japanese beetle). RNAcentral describes it as "tRNA-Trp". The record is from RNAcentral. Lineage: Eukaryota; Metazoa; Arthropoda; Insecta; Coleoptera; Scarabaeidae.